GACGAACGCUGGCGGCGUGCUUAACACAUGCAAGUCGAACGGUAAGGCCCUUCGGGGUACACGAGUGGCGAACGGGUGAGUAACACGUGGGUGAUCUGCCCUGCACUUCGGGAUAAGCCUGGGAAACUGGGUCUAAUACCGGAUAGGACUCCUGGCUUCAUGGUUGGGGGUGGAAAGCUUUUGCGGUGUGGGAUGGGCCCGCGGCCUAUCAGCUUGUUGGUGGGGUAAUGGCCUACCAAGGCGACGACGGGUAGCCGGCCUGAGAGGGUGACCGGUCACACUGGGACUGGGAUACGGCCCAGACUUCUACGGGAGGCAGCAGUGGGGAAGAUUGCCAAAUGGGCGCAAGCCGGAUGCAGCGACGCCGCGUGAGGGAUGACGGCCUUCGGGUUGUAAACCUCUUUCAGCUAUGACGAAGCGCAAGUGACGGUAGUAGCAGAAGAAGGACCGGCCAACUACGUGCCAGCCGCCGCCGUAA
Molecule: ribosomal RNA, 478 nt
Filed under: uncultured bacterium
Lineage: Bacteria
Description: partial 16S ribosomal RNA
Rfam family: Bacterial small subunit ribosomal RNA
Source: RNAcentral